AGUGAGCGCUGGCGGUAGGCCUAACACAUGCAAGUCGAACGGCAGCACAGUAAGAGCUUGCUCUUACGGGUGGCGAGUGGCGGACGGGUGAGGAAUACAUCGGAAUCUACUUUUUCGUGGGGGAUAACGUAGGGAAACUUACGCUAAUACCGCAUACGACCUACGGGUGAAAGCAGGGGAUCUUCGGACCUUGCGCGAUUGAAUGAGCCGAUGUCGGAUUAGCUAGUUGGCGGGGUAAAGGCCCACCAAGGCGACGAUCCGUAGCUGGUCUGAGAGGAUGAUCAGCCACACUGGAACUGAGACACGGUCCAGAAUCCUACGGGAGGUAGCAGUGGGGAAUAUUGGACAAUGGGCGCAAGCCUGAUCCAGCCAUACCGCGUGGGUGAAGAAGGCCUUCGGGUUGUAAAGCCCUUUUGUUGGGAAAGAAAAGCAGCAGGUUAAUACCCCGCUGUUCUGACGGUACCCAAAGAAUAAGCACCGGCUAACUUCGUG
This 492-nucleotide ribosomal RNA is filed under the name uncultured bacterium. Its description in RNAcentral is "partial 16S ribosomal RNA". It matches the Rfam family "Bacterial small subunit ribosomal RNA", at positions 29 to 507 of the family's 1533-position model. The record is from RNAcentral.